This 1405-nucleotide unclassified non-coding RNA is filed under the name Hevea brasiliensis (rubber tree). The record is from RNAcentral. Lineage: Eukaryota; Viridiplantae; Streptophyta; Magnoliopsida; Malpighiales; Euphorbiaceae.
AAACUGACUCUUGAAUUUUCAGUUUAUGUAUAAUAAAGAAGGACAAAAAUGUUUCUAAUGGCUGAAAUAUAACUUGAAAACAUGCAUUUGUAGAGAUGCAUAACAAUCAUAUGCAAGGCUUCAUACACAUUUACCAUUCAUGAUCCCUUUUUAGAAAUGUCUAUAAAGAAAAGGCCACUCCCUAUUACACACAUAAUGAUCAAACUUCAGAUCCAUACACGAUUCAUUACCCAAAUUAUAGGAAGCACUAAAACCAUACCUUCAAGCUCAAAAUCAGCCUAAUGACUCUAAAAACUUAUCAACACGGCUAUUUGAUCCCCUUGACAAAAACUUCAUGCAAAUCGGGGGUUUAAUCCCUGCUAGAGCGAGUAUUGAACUGGGUAGAGUCCAUAUUCCAUCCCCACAAAUCAAACCCGAAGCCACUGCAGGGCCGAAAUUGUCUGCCUUCCUUCUAUCAAUUUUCUGCCACACAAAUAGAAUCAAGCUUCCCAUAGCCAUGUCAAUGGCAAAGUAUGGUCCCAGAUAGAAAGGUAUAGCCAUUGCCAUUGGAAGGGGAAUGAAUCUUGACCAUUUCUUACCCGAUGAGUCUUUGAUCAAGUUUAUCGCAAUGGCUAAACCAAAGAACACAUAACAAAGUAACAGACAAUUCUUUGGCAGAGCUGAAAAGCCUUGAACCCCCAAUAUAGCCAUGUUUCUGUAAAUAACAGCAUUAGGAGAAGGGUAUUCACUUCCAGGAUGCCCAAGAUCAUCGAAGGCCUUGUAAAAGAGCCAAAAGACACAAGGAGAAAUAAUGCAACCCAUUGCAGUUCCAAUUACUUGGCUCACAAACAUUGACCGUGGUGAAGAUAGGGUUAAGUAACCUGUCUUAAAAUCCUGAGUGAGAUCAGAGGCAGUGGAGACAAUGUUCAUCAUCACUCCACAAGCUGCAAGUCNNNNNNNNNNNNUCCGCCAUGUGAAGCACCAGCCCAUGCCCCAAUUGUGAAAAUAGCUAGCUUCCCAUAGGUAGAUGCUAGAGACCAGUCAGUGAGUCCACAUCCAUAAGCAUUACAGAAUGCUAAGGUUGGUGCAAAGAUGUAGAUGACCAGUAUGUAGUACCAUUUGAGUUGGUGAAAGAUGUGUGGAAGAGUGGCUGUAGAGAUGGCAGCAAUUGUAACAUAUCCUGCAAUAGCAAACCAUGUUGGAAUUUGAUCUUUGAUAAAGAGUCGUGUGCGGCGUUCAUCAUCGUAAGAGAGCUUAAGGCUCUUAGGAGAAGGAUGGUCAACAACAGGGAGACCACUGCUUGCACCUCGACUUCGGAGUUGGAAAAACAAAGCAGCAAGAGUUCGGCUUAGCACCUUAAAGAAGUUGUACAGACCAUCACCCAAGAUAAUGGCAAUGGCAAUAAACACCUUGUAACCUUGAAGAC